Molecule: long non-coding RNA, 1903 nt
Organism: Heterocephalus glaber (naked mole-rat)
Lineage: Eukaryota; Metazoa; Chordata; Mammalia; Rodentia; Bathyergidae
Source: Ensembl
CCACGAGGUGUGCAUGGCGUUUUCUCUUGCACACAGCAGCUCAGACAGGGUUGCCAGAAGGGAGAGAAAUGAGGUGAAGGUGGAGGGUUAUAUAAGCCGCCCGGGCUCACGGGGGAAGCUCGUUUGGUCGUGGGAACCGGGCUGUUGCGUGUGCGUGCGUGUUGCUGUCUCCCAAACUCGUCUUCAUUAAACUUCCACCCCACAGAAGUUGUGAGCUACAUUUUUAGUUCUGUCUCUCCUCUGAGGUUUAGGAAUACUUUCUGGAUGAGCUUUUUCUUUUCUAGCACUGAGAACCAAGCCCAGGGCCUUUGCACCGAGCUCCAUCCCAAGCUCAUUUAUUUAUUUACUUACUUGUUUACUUUGUAAAUUUUGAGACCGGGUCUAAGCUGCUAAGUUGCCCAAGCUGAGCUUGAACUUGCGAUCCUCCCGCCUCAGCCUCCCACUCCUUAAAUAUUUGAUCAGUUCCAUAGCAACGGCUAGCUCUCUAUUUUCAGACACAGCCCAGCCAGACUCCGGUUUCCAAAGCUCUCUCCGUAUGCGUGAGCGUCCGCCGUCAGCCGCGCGCAGUGAACAGGGAAAAGGGAACCCAGGCCCCGCGUGCGUCCUGGAGUCAGGAAAGCAAUUUUGCAGCGUCUCGUGGGCGGGUUUCUGCCUCCCAGGCUCCUGGGCCCAGGGUCUCUGAAGGGACAGAGAGCUCUGGUGGCAGUGAAGCCUUCUGUCAUCCUGCCCACCAGGUCAAGCCAGGGCGCCAGACCACCAGUAGACCAUGGCUCCAACAGGCAGCUCAGGCCCUUGGAGGUCGCAAGCAGCCCAACCCUCCUCUGGGGCUACCCAACCAGCACGCCACCCCAGCUGCACUACGGGGGAGAAGGGUGGGUGACUGUUGCUGAGGAUUAAGGCCCUCUCCCCCUUCACCCAUCUUGCCAAGCCAUGACCAAGAGAUCAGGCUCCUGGGCAGUUCACCUCGGGGGGCCAUGUGGGGAUCCCCAACCUCCAUCCAGCCUCUGGUCACCGCUGGCCACCCCUGCCCAGCUGCCUGGCUCUCUCUGCUGUGACAGCGUCCUCAGCCUCAUCCUUGUGCAUAGUGACAACAUCCCUGGGUCCCAUUGUCGUCCGAGGGUCAGGCCAGGGGGAGUGUUGACCUGCACCCCUGGCUGGAUGGGCCCCCCUGGAGGACCGUCACCUUCUAACGAUGCCAUCGCCAGGGUAGGUGCCGCUGGGGACCUACCCCACGUCAUUCUCAGAUGCAAGCCACGCCACGCGCCAAUGCCAAUCCCAGCCAGUGGUCCCGGCCUCCUCAUGUGUGCAGAGCAAGCAGCCGGCUGGGAAAAAGACACCCAAGGGGCUCCCUGGGUUCCUCCAGCCGAGUUACCUAGGAUGUUCUGGUGUCAUCUUGCAAAGAGGAGAGACCGUGUCUUAGAAGCAGAGAAUCACCCUGUGAAAUGGUGGACUAGAGAUUUUGCAGGUGCAAUGAGAGGGCUCUGGGACAUUCUAGUAGCAUAUCCAGCAUUUAGUUCCUUUGGAACGCGAACCUAUGCAUAAGGCACUUUCUCCAGUGCAUCCUGUGUGAGACUCCUCUGGCUACCAGGAAGGACCCCAGACCUCCCUGCCCUGUGCUUGGCUGACAGCAGAAUGAAGGAGGUCUCCAUGUGGAGCUGUAAAGUCCAUGUGAACAUCCGUGCUGCGGUGCCCCCAGCAGCACCCGCCCCUCGUCCUGUUGGUCUGUGCCCUGGUGAGCUUUUUCUACACUCUUCCUCCACACCGCCGCUGUCGUCCCGUUCUGCAGGUGUGAAUUUUGAUGCCUCGGUGUUGUCCUGUCAUCGCUUCCGCCUCCGUGUGUGCAGGGAGGCUGUGAGGAUGGAGCUGAGACAUUACAGCUAUUCCAGACAAUAAAAUAUUUUUG